UCCCUGUUACCGGGGCAGUCUGAUUAGAAAAAUUCAACUAAUCACAAGGGUUGCGCUCGUUAAUGGACUUAACCAAACAUCUCACGACACGAGCUGACGACGGCCAUGCAACACCUGUCACUUGAUUCAAUAAAGCACUCUCUCCUUUCGGAGAAAUUCCAAGGAUGUCAAGUCCUGGUAAGGUUCUUCGUUUACCAUCGAAUUAAAGAACACGCUCCACCGCUUGUGCGGCUCCCCGUCAAUUCCUUUAUGUUUUAGUCUUGCGACCGUACUCCACAGGCGGGAUACUUAACGCGUUAGCUUCGCUACUGAAGGGGUCGAUACCUCCAACAGCUAGUAUCCAUAGUUUACGGCGUGGACUAC
This 363-nucleotide unclassified non-coding RNA is filed under the name uncultured bacterium. RNAcentral's name for it is "contains 16S-23S intergenic spacer region". The record is from RNAcentral.